Molecule: ribosomal RNA, 1299 nt
Filed under: Salmonella enterica subsp. enterica
Lineage: Bacteria; Pseudomonadati; Pseudomonadota; Gammaproteobacteria; Enterobacterales; Enterobacteriaceae
Description: partial 23S ribosomal RNA
Rfam family: Bacterial large subunit ribosomal RNA
Source: RNAcentral
UACCCCGAGGAAAAGAAAUCAACCGAGAUUCCCCCAGUAGCGGCGAGCGAACGGGGAGGAGCCCAGAGCCUGAAUCAGCAUGUGUGUUAGUGGAAGCGUCUGGAAAGGCGCGCGAUACAGGGUGACAGCCCCGUACACAAAAGCGCAUGUGCUGUGAGCUCGAUGAGUAGGGCGGGACACGUGGUAUCCUGUCUGAAUAUGGGGGGACCAUCCUCCAAGGCUAAAUACUCCUGACUGACCGAUAGUGAACCAGUACCGUGAGGGAAAGGCGAAAAGAACCCCGGCGAGGGGAGUGAAAAAGAACCUGAAACCGUGUACGUACAAGCAGUGGGAGCACCCUUUGGGGUGUGACUGCGUACCUUUUGUAUAAUGGGUCAGCGACUUAUAUUCUGUAGCAAGGUUAACCGCAUAGGGGAGCCGGAGGGAAACCGAGUCUUAAUUGGGCGUUAAGUUGCAGGGUAUAGACCCGAAACCCGGUGAUCUAGCCAUGGGCAGGUUGAAGGUUGGGUAACACUAACUGGAGGACCGAACCGACUAAUGUUGAAAAAUUAGCGGAUGACCUGUGGCUGGGGGUGAAAGGCCAAUCAAACCGGGAGAUAGCUGGUUCUCCCCGAAAGCUAUUUAGGUAGCGCCUCGUGAAUUCAUCUCCGGGGGUAGAGCACUGUUUCGGCUAGGGGGCCAUCCCGGCUUACCAACCCGAUGCAAACUGCGAAUACCGGAGAAUGUUAUCACGGGAGACACACGGCGGGUGCUAACGUCCGUCGUGAAGAGGGAAACAACCCAGACCGCCAGCUAAGGUCCCAAAGUCAUGGUUAAGUGGGAAACGAUGUGGGAAGGCCCAGACAGCCAGGAUGUUGGCUUAGAAGCAGCCAUCAUUUAAAGAAAGCGUAAUAGCUCACUGGUCGAGUCGGCCUGCGCGGAAGAUGUAACGGGGCUAAACCAUGCACCGAAGCUGCGGCAGCGACACUCAGGUGUUGUUGGGUAGGGGAGCGUUCUGUAAGCCUGCGAAGGUGUGUCGUGAGGCAUGCUGGAGGUAUCAGAAGUGCGAAUGCUGACAUAAGUAACGAUAAAGCGGGUGAAAAGCCCGCUCGCCGGAAGACCAAGGGUUCCUGUCCAACGUUAAUCGGGGCAGGGUGAGUCGACCCCUAAGGCGAGGCCGAAAGGCGUAGUCGAUGGGAAACGGGUUAAUAUUCCCGUACUUGGUGUUACUGCGAAGGGGGGACGGAGAAGGCUAUGUUGGCCGGGCGACGGUUGUCCCGGUUUAAGCGUGUAGGUGUGUGUUCCAGGUAAAUCCGGUUC